RNAcentral lists this long non-coding RNA (619 nucleotides) under Cairina moschata (Muscovy duck). RNAcentral's name for it is "domestica (muscovy Duck (domestic type)) lncRNA (ENSCMMG00000003947.1)". Lineage: Eukaryota; Metazoa; Chordata; Aves; Anseriformes; Anatidae. The record is from RNAcentral.
AGCACCUCCAGUGUGGUAGCUUGGGUGGAUAUUUUCUAAUCUGUCCCUGACAGGGCAUUUGCUGCACUCCUGAAAGCAGGGCUGGGGUGGAAGCAGUGCCUGGAAAGCAGCUGGAGGUCUACCAAAAGCACGCUGUGGGCACUGCUGCAAGGAGCCGCCCGGAGCUCCAGGGUGAAGAGACCUGCCUCCCCUGGGAGACCUGCUAAAGGUGAAGACCUCCAAGCAGACCAGGCAGAUUUAGCAGGAGCACAGAAAUUUUACAUCAAGAGCCCCCUGGAGUAUUACAGCCUACCAUUCAGAGGCUGGACAAGAGCUUGGCCUUGCACUUUUACAGAUCGCUGCCUGUAGCGGAGCACAAAGGGAGCGGCGAGACUCCCACGUCUUUCAGCGAGAAGAAAGGAGGCAGCAGAGCAGACUAACGCGGGCUCGCGUCUGGUGGCCUGGCGGUACAAAGGCUGCCUUUAAAAGAGAAGCGCAGCGUUAUUUAAUGAGCUGUGAGAUGAGGAGGCGCUGCUGCUAACGCUCAGAUCCCGGGAUUCAUCGGCUAUUCAUUGUGCUUAAUGUACAUGUUUCUACACCGUGCAUUUAGGAGAUCCCAGAGAAGAAUCCAAAACGGCUG